UUCGGUGGCCAUAGCGUCGGGGAAACACCCAGUCUCCAUUCCGAACCUGGAAGUUAAGCCCGCCAGCGCCGAUGGUACUGCGACCGGGAGGUCGUGGGAGAGUAGGACGCCGCCGGAC
This 118-nucleotide ribosomal RNA is filed under the name Kribbella shirazensis. The record is from RNAcentral. Lineage: Bacteria; Bacillati; Actinomycetota; Actinomycetes; Propionibacteriales; Kribbellaceae. RNAcentral also lists the same sequence under 23 other names.